CCUACGGGGGGCAGCAGUGGGGAAUAUUGCACAAUGGGGGAAACCCUGAUGCAGCGACGCCGCGUGAGUGAAGAAGUAUUUCGGUAUGUAAAGCUCUAUCAGCAGGAACGAGACAAGACGGUACCUGACUAAGAAGCCCCGGCUAACUACGUGCCAGCAGCCGCGGUAAUACGUAGGGGGCAAGCGUUAUCCGGAAUCACUGGGUGUAAAGGGAGCGUAGACGGCUGUGCAAGCCUGAAGUGAAAGGCGGGGGACCAACCCCUGGACUGCUUUAGGAACUGUACGGCUGGAGUGCAGGAGAGGUAAGUGGAAUUCCUAGUGUAGCGGUGAAAUGCGUAGAUAUUAGGAGGAACACCAGUGGCGAAGGCGGCUUACUGGACUGUAACUGACGUUGAGGCUCGAAAGCGUGGGGAGCAAACAGGAUUAGAUACCCGUGUAGUC
RNAcentral lists this ribosomal RNA (441 nucleotides) under uncultured bacterium. RNAcentral's name for it is "partial 16S ribosomal RNA". It matches the Rfam family "Bacterial small subunit ribosomal RNA", at positions 338 to 795 of the family's 1533-position model. The record is from RNAcentral.